This 1528-nucleotide ribosomal RNA is filed under the name Klebsiella variicola. Its description in RNAcentral is "16S ribosomal RNA". It matches the Rfam family "Bacterial small subunit ribosomal RNA". The record is from RNAcentral. RNAcentral also lists the same sequence under 1 other name. Lineage: Bacteria; Pseudomonadati; Pseudomonadota; Gammaproteobacteria; Enterobacterales; Enterobacteriaceae.
AGAGUUUGAUCAUGGCUCAGAUUGAACGCUGGCGGCAGGCCUAACACAUGCAAGUCGAGCGGUAGCACAGAGAGCUUGCUCUCGGGUGACGAGCGGCGGACGGGUGAGUAAUGUCUGGGAAACUGCCUGAUGGAGGGGGAUAACUACUGGAAACGGUAGCUAAUACCGCAUAAUGUCGCAAGACCAAAGUGGGGGACCUUCGGGCCUCAUGCCAUCAGAUGUGCCCAGAUGGGAUUAGCUGGUAGGUGGGGUAACGGCUCACCUAGGCGACGAUCCCUAGCUGGUCUGAGAGGAUGACCAGCCACACUGGAACUGAGACACGGUCCAGACUCCUACGGGAGGCAGCAGUGGGGAAUAUUGCACAAUGGGCGCAAGCCUGAUGCAGCCAUGCCGCGUGUGUGAAGAAGGCCUUCGGGUUGUAAAGCACUUUCAGCGGGGAGGAAGGCGUUAAGGUUAAUAACCUUGGCGAUUGACGUUACCCGCAGAAGAAGCACCGGCUAACUCCGUGCCAGCAGCCGCGGUAAUACGGAGGGUGCAAGCGUUAAUCGGAAUUACUGGGCGUAAAGCGCACGCAGGCGGUCUGUCAAGUCGGAUGUGAAAUCCCCGGGCUCAACCUGGGAACUGCAUUCGAAACUGGCAGGCUAGAGUCUUGUAGAGGGGGGUAGAAUUCCAGGUGUAGCGGUGAAAUGCGUAGAGAUCUGGAGGAAUACCGGUGGCGAAGGCGGCCCCCUGGACAAAGACUGACGCUCAGGUGCGAAAGCGUGGGGAGCAAACAGGAUUAGAUACCCUGGUAGUCCACGCCGUAAACGAUGUCGAUUUGGAGGUUGUGCCCUUGAGGCGUGGCUUCCGGAGCUAACGCGUUAAAUCGACCGCCUGGGGAGUACGGCCGCAAGGUUAAAACUCAAAUGAAUUGACGGGGGCCCGCACAAGCGGUGGAGCAUGUGGUUUAAUUCGAUGCAACGCGAAGAACCUUACCUGGUCUUGACAUCCACAGAACUUUCCAGAGAUGGAUUGGUGCCUUCGGGAACUGUGAGACAGGUGCUGCAUGGCUGUCGUCAGCUCGUGUUGUGAAAUGUUGGGUUAAGUCCCGCAACGAGCGCAACCCUUAUCCUUUGUUGCCAGCGGUCCGGCCGGGAACUCAAAGGAGACUGCCAGUGAUAAACUGGAGGAAGGUGGGGAUGACGUCAAGUCAUCAUGGCCCUUACGACCAGGGCUACACACGUGCUACAAUGGCAUAUACAAAGAGAAGCGACCUCGCGAGAGCAAGCGGACCUCAUAAAGUAUGUCGUAGUCCGGAUUGGAGUCUGCAACUCGACUCCAUGAAGUCGGAAUCGCUAGUAAUCGUAGAUCAGAAUGCUACGGUGAAUACGUUCCCGGGCCUUGUACACACCGCCCGUCACACCAUGGGAGUGGGUUGCAAAAGAAGUAGGUAGCUUAACCUUCGGGAGGGCGCUUACCACUUUGUGAUUCAUGACUGGGGUGAAGUCGUAACAAGGUAACCGUAGGGGAACCUGCGGUUGGAUCACCU